Molecule: long non-coding RNA, 2803 nt
Organism: Oryzias melastigma (Indian medaka)
Lineage: Eukaryota; Metazoa; Chordata; Actinopteri; Beloniformes; Adrianichthyidae
Exons: 4
Source: RefSeq, a predicted model, not a curated record
CAAUCUUUCCCUCUUUAAGAAGAAUAGACUGGAAAUGAAAUUUUUAAUAAUGAACAAUUAUUGAGGAUUAUUUGUAAAUCUCCCAAAAAACAGUUUAAUUUUUGUAGUUUUGUUUAUUCAUUAUCUGAAGCAUACACAUUUUCUGUGUAUUAUUUUAAUAUCCUAGUUAUUUGGUGGACAGUUUGCACAAAUAUGUUGCAGAAAAAUGCAGUUUCUUGUUGACAUGGAUGCAUGAAUGGUGACAUCAGGAGAGGAUCAAUGAAGAUGCUGAAAUUUGGUUAAAGGACAUAAAAAAGUUAAAAUAAUUGCUGAAAAGUUACUUGCAAAAUAGCUGUUUAUCUCAAAGUUAAACACAAUAAGAAGUGUGAAAAAUCAAUUAGGAAUUUAAUUACAGUACUUGUUCCCUGUGGUUUCUUAAAUUAAGAUUAAGGUUUUUUUUUUUUUUUUUUGCAAAAUGAAAAAAAACAGUGUUUCUUUUUAUGACAUAGUUUCUGCAGAGAGGCAGUAGUUCGUUAAAAAUCCACCUCUGAGUUGUGGGUGGGACUCUUGAUGAGGAAACCGAGAUUGUGGCCCGCCCAACAUAUUUUUCACGUCACAAAUAAGCCUUUUUUUAGACAACACUUUUUGUCACUUUUCUUUUUUUUUUUUGUCCUCUAUUGUCAGAAAAAUACCACAAGAAUACAUUAAAAACACAGUUUUUGUCAAAGUGAGUCUAAAUUGGUGGACCAAAAUUGAAAUUAACUGUCAGCAAAAAGAGGUAAAAACUUCAUUUUUGGUGGGAGGAAAAGGAAAAAGGAAGCUGGAAUCAUGGGACAUGUGAGUUAUGGGAAAAAUUAGAUUUAAGGGUCAUAAAAGAAUAGAAAUCCAGUGUAUUGUUGAGAUUUCAAUUUUAUCGGACUCAGCUAAUUUAUAAUAUUUUUUAAUAUUGGAAAACAUUUUGACAAAAAACCCAUGAAUAAUAAAAAUGUAAGAGUCACUUGAACUACUUAAUAAACAGGUUUUAAGGAAGAAAAUAAAAUAGGAAGUAAAUAAAGGACAUAUUGAAGAAUGAUUUCACUGUUGUUAGGAAUUUAUUGUUUACAUUUUGAAAAAAAAAACGUUUUGAUGAAAAUUUAAGAGGAAAAAAAUGACAAUGUUAAUAAAAAAGAUCCUCACUCCACACCAGCAGGGGGCAGACGUGCACUUUAGAUGUAGAUGCCUCGCCAAUAAACCCGAAGGAAGAAGAAGAAAGGACAGCAGCACAAACCAACACUAACUACUACUGCUUCAGGGUAGCAAUUGAAAUAUAAAGAAAGUCCAAAACUUUCAGAAAAAAAGCUUAAAUAAAUAUUUAUUUAAAUGUCAGAACAUUUUUUAAACAAAUAAACUAGCAAAUACAUAAUAUUAUUUUAAAAAAAUAUUAAAAAUAAAAAUAACAGGGCCCAGGUUUCACCACCAGCUACCAAAGCAACAGCAAAGCAGAGACGGUCCAGGAUUUACCAUCAAGACCACAAAAGAAUGAACACAAUGAAAGCUGGAACAAGAUAGUGGAGAAUCUGGAGUCUACAGGAGAGUCUGAAGAUUUGGCCGCAAAGGAGUCUAAUAAGAGUCUUUCCGGAAUGAAUUGACCCUCAAACAAUCAGAGCAGCACUCACAGUUGGUUGUGCUCAAGGAUCCGGGCCUGCAGUAUAUCCAACCCUCAGCACUACGAGUCCUGCUAUCUGUCACCGAACAUUCAGCCUGAUUUGUGUAAGCAACAUCUGACCACGACAAUUGCAUUAACAAGCACUGGAAGGUCCGGGCCGUCAAGCUUUCCUGAGACCACAUGAGCUCCUGAUUAAAUUAUGAGCAUGAAAUCACAGAUCCUCUCAUUGUUAUUCUGUAAAAACCCCUGCUUGGACAUGAACCACCGUCACAUGAAUAAGAUACUUCUCUUCAAUCUUGUAAUUAGCAGCUAAAAGCUCAAAUUGGUUCAUGAUAUGCCCCUGAAAAGGAUCCUAAACAAAGUUUUUUGUUGUCCUGGUAACUUUUUUUUCUGUUGUGAGGCACUUUCAGGUCAAUAUCUUUAGAGUUUGGUGGGAAAAGUCAACAUUUUUUAGGGGACAUUUGAUAGCACAAUGCAGACCAGAACCCAGUAAAAAUAUUAAACUUUAGUUUUAAACACACAAAGUUUUUUUUACUAUUUUUUUAAGAUUGGGAUAUUUACUAUUGAGGUGAUUUUUUUGUGUGUACCGCGUUAAAAGUUGUUUUAUUGAGCUUGCUUUCAUUCAACCACAUUUCAAUUAUAUGUUUGUGUCUCAUUGUUGUCUGUUGCUUUCUUUCUACCCUGUUUACAUCACUUAAUGGCCAUCUAGGGUGGCCGUCUUGGUCCAAUUGUUCUGCUCCGAGCACGGAGCCUAUUCAAAAUGAGGAAAGUCAGAGCAAGCCGGAGUUGAGUCCGAUUGGAAAUGAACCAACACCACCUGGGAUGAUGGGUCAGAGAGCGGGUCCCGAUCCCGGACCAGGAUCUGCUUGGGUGUAUUCAGACUGAAAAUUUGUUCCGUAUUAUCGGGCGAACUGAACUCUGGUUCACUUUAAGCGAACCAAAUGUGUCCAGUCGGAAUACACCCUUAAAAGUUUCUAUUCAGCGUUAAAGUGUUUUUUUUUAUUUUUUUUUUUUUAUUCUUUAUUUGUCUCUAAAAGGCCUUGUCGUUGAUGCAAAAAAGCCUGAUUUUAAUUAAUUUCCUCCUACUCUGUGGCCUGUCCAUUUCCCUUCCUCUUUCUAAAUCUGUUCUUUAGCCGAAUCCAAAUUCUUCCCCUAAGGCUUCUUCCUAAUCCUAUACUU